GGGUUGACUUGCUCAGAAGAUUUGUCAGUCGAGCGGUAACAGAUCUAGCUUGCUAGAUGCUGACGAGCGGCGGACGGGUGAGUAAUGCAUAGGAAUCUACCUAGUAGCGGGGGACAACCUGGUGAAAACCAGGCUAAUACCGCAUAAUCCCUACGGGGCAAAGCAGGGGACCUUCGGGCCUAGUAGAUGAGCCUAUGUCGGAUUAGCUAGUUGGUGAGGUAAUGGCUCACCGAGGCAACGAUCCGUAGCUGGUUUGAGAGGAUGAUCAGCCACACUGGGACUGAGACACGGCCCGAACUCCUACGGGAGGCAGCAGUGGGGAAUAUUGGACAAUGGGGGCAACCCUGAUCCAGCCAUGCCGCGUGUGUGAAGAAGGCCUUAGGGUUGUAAAGCACUUUCAGUAGGGAGGAAAAGUAAGUAGUUAAUAACUGCUUACCCUGACGUUACCUACAGAAGAAGCACCGGCUAACUCCGUGCCAGCAGCCGCGGUAAUACGGAGGGUGCAAGCGUUAAUCGGAAUUACUGGGCGUAAAGCGCGCGUAGGUGGUUUGAUAAGCGAGAUGUGAAAGCCCCGGGCUUAACCUGGGAACUGCAUUUCGAACUGGCAGGCUAGAGUAUGGUAGAGGUGAGUGGAAUUUCCAGUGUAGCGGUGAAAUGCGUAGAGAUCUGAAGGAAUACCGGUGGCGAAGGCGGCCCCCUGGAUUGAUACUGACACUGAGGUGCGAAAGCGUGGGUAGCAAAACAGGAUUAGAUACCCUGGUAGUCCACGCCGUAAACGAUGUCUACUAGCCGUUGGAAGACUUGAUCUUUUAGUGGCGCAGCUAACGCAAUAAGUAGACCGCCUGGGGAGUACGGUCGCAAGAUUAAAACUCAAAUGAAUUGACGGGGGCCCGCACAAGCGGUGGAGCAUGUGGUUUAAUUCGACGCAACGCGAAGAACCUUACCUACUCUUGACAUCCUGCGAACCUUGUGGAGACACGAGGGUGCCUUCGGGAACGCAGUGACAGGUGCUGCAUGGCUGUCGUCAGCUCGUGUUGUGAAAUGUUGGGUUAAGUCCCGUAACGAGCGCAACCCUUGUCCUUAUUUGCCAGCACGUAAUGGUGGGAACUCUAAGGAGACUGCCGGUGACAAACCGGAGGAAGGUGGGGACGACGUCAAGUCAUCAUGGCCCUUACGUGUAGGGCUACACACGUGCUACAAUGGCCGGUACAGAGGGCUGCGAACUCGCGAGAGUAAGCUAAUCCCUUAAAACCGGUCGUAGUCCGGAUCGGAGUCUGCAACUCGACUCCGUGAAGUCGGAAUCGCUAGUAAUCGCGAAUCAGAAUGCCGCGGUGAAUACGUUCCCGGGCCUUGUACACACCGCCCGUCACACCAUGGGAGUGGGUUGCACCAGAAGUCAGUAGCUUAACUUUGGAGGGCGCUGACCACGGUGUGGUUCAUGACUGGGGUGAAGUCCUAACUAGAAUUUACAGCCG
RNAcentral lists this ribosomal RNA (1475 nucleotides) under uncultured prokaryote. RNAcentral describes it as "partial 16S ribosomal RNA". It matches the Rfam family "Bacterial small subunit ribosomal RNA". The record is from RNAcentral.